Molecule: non-coding RNA, 693 nt
Organism: Notolabrus celidotus (New Zealand spotty)
Lineage: Eukaryota; Metazoa; Chordata; Actinopteri; Labriformes; Labridae
Source: the annotation of a RefSeq genome assembly
GAACACUUUGGUUCCAGCUGAGACCGUCAGACUGAACACAACUCACUAAACUGUAUUCAUACUGAUCCUUCAGUUACAGUAUCUUCCCUAUGAGGCAUGGACAAACUCAUUGCUGUUCUGCUUUUGUCUUCUGUCAUGGGUGUGAGCUGUGAAGAUCUCACUGCAGAGAGGAAAGAAGAGUCCGCUUUAGAGAACAGCUCUGUUACUCUGUCCUUCAGAUACUCCAAACAAGCAACUGCUGGAGAUGAACUUUACUGGUAUCAUCAAGAUCCAGGAGAACCACCACAGUUCCUCAUCUCUCACACAGGGACAGGAACACCAUUAUCAGAUCCAGUUCCUGGACUGUCUUUUACAGUAAGUGGGGAUCGUGUGGAUCUCCAGAUCUCCUCUGCUGCACUGAGUGACUCUGCUGUGUACUACUGUGCUGUGAGGCCCACAGUGACAGGAAACACCAACACUCUGUACAAAAACACAACGUGUCUCUCUGACAUGCUGCUAACAGCUUCUGCUUGUGUUGAUACUUUUACCUCCACCAGAGGGAGACAUCAUCAAGUAGUUCAUACUCCACAUCAACACUGAGUUCAUCCAUUGGCUCAUUCUGAACUGCUGCUGAGAAGAGAAGUACUGUCACACUGACAGACUGACAAACUUCAGCUAGUUCCUCCUGUUGAUUGAAUCCUUGUUGUAGAGAUG